CAGCCGCCGCGGUAAUACGAAGGGGGCUAGCGUUGCUCGGAAUGACUGGGCGUAAAGGGCGCGUAGGCGGAUUGCGCAGUCAGAUGUGAAAUUCCUGGGCUUAACCUGGGGGCUGCAUUUGAGACGCGUAGUCUAGAGUGUGAAAGAGGGUCGUGGAAUUCCCAGUGUAGAGGUGAAAUUCGUAGAUAUUAGGAAGAACACCGGUGGCGAAGGCGGCGACCUGGUUCAUAACUGACGCUGAGGCGCGAAAGCGUGGGGAGCAAACAGGAUUAGAUACCCGAGUAGUCCCUGUCUCUUAUAC
This 301-nucleotide ribosomal RNA is filed under the name uncultured bacterium. Its description in RNAcentral is "partial 16S ribosomal RNA". It matches the Rfam family "Bacterial small subunit ribosomal RNA", at positions 509 to 807 of the family's 1533-position model. The record is from RNAcentral.